UACGUCCAUAUCACGUUGAAACGCCGGUUCUCGUAGGAUCACCGAAGUUAAGCAACGUUGAGCCUGGUCAGUAAUUAGAUCGGUGACUAUUUGGGAAUACCAAGUGCUGUAA
Non-coding RNA from Acanthosepion pharaonis, 112 nucleotides. The record is from the annotation of a GenBank genome assembly. NCBI's taxonomy places the organism in Eukaryota, Metazoa, Mollusca, Cephalopoda, Sepiida, Sepiidae.